RNAcentral lists this ribosomal RNA (333 nucleotides) under Riemerella anatipestifer. RNAcentral describes it as "partial 23S ribosomal RNA". It matches the Rfam family "Bacterial large subunit ribosomal RNA", at positions 1137 to 1474 of the family's 2925-position model. Lineage: Bacteria; Pseudomonadati; Bacteroidota; Flavobacteriia; Flavobacteriales; Weeksellaceae. The record is from RNAcentral.
ACAGCUCACUAGUCGAGCGGUCCGGCAUGGAUAAUAAUCGGGCAUAAGCAUAUUACCGAAGCUAUGGGAUGUAUUAAAUACAUCGGUAGGAGAGCAUUCUAUCGGCGCAGAAGCAGUAUCGUGAGGUAUUGUGGAGCUUAUAGAAAAGAAAAUGUAGGCAUAAGUAACGAUAAAGGGGGCGAGAAACCCCCUCACCGAAAGACUAAGGUUUCCUCAGCCAUGCUAAUCAGCUGAGGGUUAGUCGGGACCUAACGCGAACCCGAAAGGGGAAGUGGAUGGACAAUGGGUUAAUAUUCCCAUACUUGCUCACACUAAAAAGGGGACGGAUUGCCG